Long non-coding RNA from Rosa rugosa (rugosa rose), 980 nucleotides. RefSeq lists it as uncharacterized. The record is from RefSeq and is a predicted model, not a curated record. Lineage: Eukaryota; Viridiplantae; Streptophyta; Magnoliopsida; Rosales; Rosaceae. The transcript has 7 exons.
AUAAUAUUCCGCUUCCUCUGACGCAAGUUGUUUAGAAUUUAUUAUUUUCUUUUGAUUCAGGUUACUAAGUCCUCUGAUUUUGUAUCUAAUGUAGAAGAAAAUCGUACCAAGAUACAUGUAAAGCUAAUAUUUACCGAUGCUGGAAGCAUUUAGAAUCGCCUUGGAGUUGAGAGCCUGAUCGAAUUGUACUUUGGUGGAGGAUGGGAAUAAUGAUCUGCCAAUAUGUGAUAGUAAUCCCAGCUCGACCAACUUCCAAACACGUCUCACUUCCCUAUUAAUGCGACAGAGUGAUAGACUGAAAUCGAAUCACCGACAUCUUCGAACCUGCCUUAAAGAUUCUGUACUUAUAUGCAGAGAGGAUAAGCACUACAUCUUCCUUCAUCAACAGAAUCUUCCCUGUAGUUUGUCCGCCAAACAAAGACAGCACGAGCUGAAAUGAGUGAACUGUUGACUAGCUUGUUGUCAAAGACGGAUACAUUAACUACCACCGUACUAGUGACUGUUCCAGGAAUGAAGCUAUUAGCUAGGCAGCUCAUGGCUUCCUCACAUACUGAACUGAACUCCCUAUCAGCUUUAAUUACUUCUGCGGCUUGAUUUCUUAAACAUACAGGAAAUGAUGAUUCUCGGUCAUGUAUAGAGCUGAAAGGAUUCUGGACUUCUCAAGGACAAGAUGAUCCUCACCUCCUCAGGUUAUACAAUUCUUCUAUUUACAUAAUUUGGCAUAUAUAGUGUAGAUGCUACUACAUUGAAACUUGAAGCAUUAAGAAUGGCAUUGGAGUUUAUGGGAUGCUAAUUUGAUACCGAGGUUGGAGUAGCUUAGUCAGGCAGCUGAGCAUCUUAUCUAAUUAUGUAUAUAUUGUAGAUGAGAAUCGCACCAGGCUACUUGUACUGCUCAUAUUGAAGCUUGAUGCAUUCAGAAUGGCAUCAGACUAUCAGAGUUUGAAAAUCUUUUGGUUAAUCACAUGGGCCGAUGAUGGAGC